UACGUAGGGGGCAAGCGUUGUCCGGAAUCAUUGGGCGUAAAGGGCGCGUAGGUGGUUCUGUAUGUCUACCGUGAAAGCGUACGGCUCAACCGUAUUUUGUCGGUAGAAACUGCAGGACUUGAGGCUGGGAGGGGCUGGUGGAAUUCCCUGUGUAGCGGUGAAAUGCGUAGAGAUCUGGAGGAACACCGAUGGCGAAGGCAGCCUUCUGGGCCAACACUGACGCUCAUGCACGAAAGCGUGGGGAGCAAACAGG
RNAcentral lists this ribosomal RNA (253 nucleotides) under uncultured bacterium. RNAcentral describes it as "partial 16S ribosomal RNA". It matches the Rfam family "Bacterial small subunit ribosomal RNA", at positions 524 to 776 of the family's 1533-position model. The record is from RNAcentral.